AUUAUUUUGGCAGAUUAGUGCAUUAAAUUUAGAAUUUAAUUAUGUAAUUAGAAUUACAAAUAAUAC
RNAcentral lists this transfer RNA (66 nucleotides) under Taxicera truncata. Its description in RNAcentral is "tRNA-Leu". It matches the Rfam family "tRNA". From Rfam's summary of the family: Transfer RNA (tRNA) molecules are approximately 80 nucleotides in length. Their secondary structure includes four short double-helical elements and three loops (D, anti-codon, and T loops). Lineage: Eukaryota; Metazoa; Arthropoda; Insecta; Coleoptera; Staphylinidae. The record is from RNAcentral.